Mus musculus (house mouse) is the source of this 2089-nucleotide long non-coding RNA. RefSeq annotates it as predicted gene, 54151. NCBI's taxonomy places the organism in Eukaryota, Metazoa, Chordata, Mammalia, Rodentia, Muridae. The transcript has 2 exons. The record is from RefSeq and is a predicted model, not a curated record.
AAGCGGUAACUGAGCACAGACAGGACCUCCCCUCCUAAACCGUUAUCCUCAUGCAGCGCACCCAGGACUUGGUGUUGUUCUUACUCUAUAGGGCAUGCUAUGAACCCUAUCUACAGAUGAAGAAGCCAAGGUUUGGAGUAGUCAAGGACUCUGUCCAGGAUUUCCCACUGAGGACAUAAGGGUCCAGCAUUCCAGUCUCUGCCUGGCUGGCCAGGGCCAGGCCUCUGCACUCUACCUGAAAUAACACCAGCCUGUCUUGGAUUCCCCCAACUUCCCAAAGCAACGUGUGGCCCCUGCACCAGCAUCCAGUGUGUCCUGGCUGCUUUUAGAAAACUUUUCACUGUUGUUUCCACUCAUAAGGCAGUGUACGUGUUUUCUUUUGUGGUGUGUGUGUGUGUGUGUGUGUGUGUACACGUGCGUGUGCAUGCAUGUGUGCAUGUGUAUCUAUGCACUAUGCAUACACAUUUAUGCCUAAGAUAUACCUCUGGUGAACUGCUGGGUAUUUUAAUAGAAACUUGUCAAAACUGUUUACAGCCUUCAGCUAUCAUAUGCCUUCGGCUAGCAUAUGCCUACUGGAUAUCUCUACUUAUCUCCCCCUAGGCUGAUAUUUGAGGUUCUCUCAGUCUAUGGACUAUAAUAGAUACCAAGAGUCUCACCUUUGGGCUCCUCAGUAAUCUAACUCCAUCAUUUUCCCAGACAGGCCCUCAGAGGAGAAGGUAUUCCCUGCAGGUCAUGAGCAGUGUGCCAGGCAACUGCCACACAGGCAUCAUGGCUUUCAGGGAGCCUGUGUUGGGUGAGGAACUGUACAGUAGGAUGUUGGAGGUCAGGGGGCUAAUGUGGUGAAAACUCGGGACAACAGUGUCUGGUGCUGAGCUGGACCACCAUCAGGGGAGAUAGAGGCACGAGGAGCAUGCUGCCCCUCUGUCUCCAUGAGGACAGCUUUCUGACCCUGAGACCUGCAUCACUGUCCUCAUCUCAGCAUCUGACAUUAGCCUUUCUGCUCCAUCCCCCAUGCACAGGUACACAGUCAGAAGAUCAGAGGACAAUCUGCAAAAUUCAGUUCUUCUACCAUGUGGGUCCUGGGGUUGAACUCAGGUCCCCAGGGGUGACCCCCAAGUGCUUUCACACACUAAGCCCAAAGGAAACUUUUACUGAGCUAAGUAUGGUUAUAAAAAAGGAACACACACCCCACACCUACUUUGCCCAAAUUUCCUAGGGAACACUCAUCAAGGUCACACCAGUGAGACCAGUGGUCUCGGUGUCUGGGAGGUAGGAGCAGAAGCACCAGGAGUUCAAGGCCGUUCUUAGAAAACUGAGUUUGAUGCCCACCCUGGAAUAUAGAAGACCCUGACAGACAUAGAGACAAACAGACAGACAGACAAAAAUCAACAAACAAACAAACAAACAAAACCCCAAUACCCUAGUACAAACUGAGUUUACAGCACAGGCCUUUAACUCUUGAACUCAAGAAGGAAAGGCAGCACUCAAGAGGUGGAGGCAGGUGGAUCGCUGUGACUUUCAGGCUAACCAGCUCUAAAUAAUUAGACCCUGUCUAAAAACAAAACCCAACCAGUACAAUCUCACACCUGUGACACUGACACUGAUGUGACGUGUGUGUGUGUGUGUGUGUGUGUGUGUGUGUGUGUGUGUGUGUGUGUGUGUGUCUGUGUGUGUUGGCCAUUAGAACGUUGACACCUGUAAUUCGUGUAUCCACACUACCAUCAAGAUACACAACAGCUCUGUCCCCAAAAGGUCCUUCUGUCCACCUUUCAUAACCUCACCCUUCUCAUUCCUCUGCCCUUCCCCCACCCAAUUCUUGGCCUUUUAAUCUGUUCUCCAUUGCUAAUAUGCUGUCAUUUCAAACUGCUAUGUAAAUAGACUCACGUGGCAUGUGACCUUUCGGGACUGGCUUUUUCAUUCUGCUUAAUUCUGGCUCUUCAAGUUGUGAUGAGUGUCCGGGUCCUCUCUUCUUAUGGGUGGGAAUUUCUGGGACACCCUUCUCUACCACCCUCAGGUUCAUCAUUCCUGCACUGAGGGACAUCUGGCUGUUUCCAGUUUGGGGCUCUAACAAAUAAAACUACCAUGAAUA